UACUCCUACGGGAGGCAGCAGUAGGGAAUCUUCGGCAAUGGACGAAAGUCUGACCGAGCAACGCCGCGUGAGUGAAGAAGGUUUUCGGAUCGUAAAGCUCUGUUGUAAGAGAAGAACGGGUGUGAGAGUGGAAAGUUCACACUGUGACGGUAUCUUACCAGAAAGGGACGGCUAACUACGUGCCAGCAGCCGCGGUAAUACGUAGGUCCCGAGCGUUGUCCGGAUUUAUUGGGCGUAAAGCGAGCGCAGGCGGUUAGAUAAGUCUGAAGUUAAAGGCUGUGGCUUAACCAUAGUACGCUUUGGAAACUGUUUAACUUGAGUGCAGAAGGGGAGAGUGGAAUUCCAUGUGUAGCGGUGAAAUGCGUAGAUAUAUGGAGGAACACCGGUGGCGAAAGCGGCUCUCUGGUCUGUAACUGACGCUGAGGCUCGAAAGCGUGGGGAGCGAACAGGAUUAGAUACCCUGGUAGUCCACGCCGUAAACGAUGAGUGCUAGGUGUUAGGCCCUUUCCGGGGCUUAGUGCCGCAGCUAACGCAUUAAGCACUCCGCCUGGGGAGUACGACCGCAAGGUUGAAACUCAAAGGAAUUGACGGA
This 592-nucleotide ribosomal RNA is filed under the name uncultured bacterium. Its description in RNAcentral is "bacterial SSU rRNA". It matches the Rfam family "Bacterial small subunit ribosomal RNA", at positions 334 to 917 of the family's 1533-position model. The record is from RNAcentral.